GAUUUGUUCCCAUCUUUUCUGUCCCUUCCUACCAUGUUAGGACCCAGCUGAUCUUAACAAAGCAGUGUUGUCUUAGAAAUACACCAGCAAGCUAGAAGCUAAUUACUGACUUCAUAUUCUUGAUGGCUGAUUUAAUUAUACAUGUGGUUAAACAAUCUGUGACUAUAUUGAGUAUUCACAAAACUCAAAAUGCUACCCAGCUUUUUUCUUCAAGUGUUUGGAUUUUUCCUUACAAAAGAGCAAGGAAACUUUUGCCGAGGUGACUACAGGUAAUAAUAGCAUUUUUUGAACCCAGCAUUCUAUCGUUAGAACACUUUGUCAGCAGAUUUUGUGUGUAGAGCUGGUUUUCUUUCUAAAAUACUUAGUUUGUAAAGCCUGUUAUGGCUUUCAUGUACCUGUCUUGCUUGGUUUGCUUAGGGGUCAAAUAUAGAAGACGGUCUUUCUGAAACAUGAAAUCCAAGCUUUCCUGACAAUCUGUCAUCCAGUCUGGACAGGGAUGAAUGCUCCCUCCAAACUAGCAGUCAUAUUCAAAUUUAACCUCACACAUUUUCUUCCUGGUGGAGUUGCUGGGUGACAUCCUCCGCUCACUGAGCGGGCUGGGGGCAGGUAUUCACUCAGGGUUAAUGGGAGGGAUAAGCAAGUCUUCACAAGUGUUUGUGAGGUGCCAAACAGCACAGCACAGCCUGCUAUCUGUCUGAGUUAAUUUUUACUAGGUUAAAGAUGUCUUUAGUUUAUAACUGUCUCAUUUCUAGUAAGUGUGCAGAGUUGAGGCAACUGCAAGGAAAAGAACUUGCCAAGUAUGGGUCUUAGUUCUGGGGGCUUUUUGCUUUCAUCACAAAGUGAUUUUUUUUUCUUAUUUUUAAUCUGAUUCUAUUUUGGUUUGAUACAGACUAAAAUGAUGGUGGCUUAUGGAUUUAUUUUUCAGAACAUAAGGGAAAUGGAUUGAAUUACUUUAGAUGGAUUACUGACUUCUAGCAGCAGAAAUGGAAAUGGCACCAUUAUAAGCCAAGCGGCUGUGAAGCAAAGAGAGAAGAAUGUUUAUUUUCCAAGCCACUUGAUCAGUUUUAAGCUAAUUGCUUUCUUGGGAAAUAAAGAGUGAAAAGCAGUCGAGAUUGAUGCAUCUUUGGCAUUUAUAAUAGAAAAGACACCAAGUGGGACAAAUCUUGCAUAUCAUCCUUGGCAAAUUAUUCCUCUGUGGCUUGGCCAUGCAUACAAAUAAGUUACUGGGUGAUAACUUGUCACUACACAGAAAUGGCAAGCAGGAAGACCCAAGAAAGCUGAAACAAGAGGAGCAGAUAAAAUCCCCAACCAGGCAUACCCUGCAAAGCCUGCCUAGUGUGGAAGGACACUGAGUCAUGUACAGCCUUUGUCUGAGAGUUUUGGAGACAGUGAAAGACAGAACUACAGAACAGCAGUAGCUGUAGACUCUGCCAGGUACCUUACCUUACACAAGGAGUGAUCUGUGUCUGAGUGUCUAAUAGCACACCCUAAUACUUGUGGAAAAUAUGUUUCAUUUAAAAAAUCAGUUUUAUUUAUGCUUU
Neopsephotus bourkii (Bourke's parrot) is the source of this 1541-nucleotide long non-coding RNA. RefSeq lists it as uncharacterized. The record is from RefSeq and is a predicted model, not a curated record. NCBI's taxonomy places the organism in Eukaryota, Metazoa, Chordata, Aves, Psittaciformes, Psittacidae. The transcript has 3 exons.